RNAcentral lists this ribosomal RNA (468 nucleotides) under uncultured bacterium. RNAcentral's name for it is "partial 16S ribosomal RNA". It matches the Rfam family "Bacterial small subunit ribosomal RNA", at positions 28 to 507 of the family's 1533-position model. The record is from RNAcentral.
GACGAACGCUGGCGGCGUGCUUAACACAUGCAAGUCGAACGGAAAGCCCCUGCUUUUGUGGGGUGCUCGAGUGGCGAACGGGUGAGUAACACGUGAGUAACCUGCCCUUGACUUUGGGAUAACUUCAGGAAACUGGGGCUAAUACCGGAUAGGAGCUCCUGCUGCAUGGUGGGGGUUGGAAAGUUUCGGCGGUUGGGGAUGGACUCGCGGCUUAUCAGCUUGUUGGUGGGGUAGUGGCUUACCAAGGCUUUGACGGGUAGCCGGCCUGAGAGGGUGACCGGCCACAUUGGGACUGAGUUACGGCCCAGACUCCUACGGGAGGCAGCAGUGGGGAAUAUUGCACAAUGGGCGGAAGCCUGAUGCAGCAACGCCGCGUGCGGGAUGACGGCCUUCGGGUUGUAAACCGCUUUCGCCUGUGACGAAGCGUGAGUGACGGUAAUGGGUAAAGAAGCACCGGCUAACUACGUG